Molecule: ribosomal RNA, 497 nt
Filed under: uncultured bacterium
Lineage: Bacteria
Description: partial 16S ribosomal RNA
Rfam family: Bacterial small subunit ribosomal RNA
Source: RNAcentral
GAUGAACGCUGGCGGCGUGCCUAAUACAUGCAAGUCGAGCGAAAAGAUGAGGAUCUUGCUCGUCUGACGUUAGGGGAAGGCGGGUGAGUAACACGUGGAUAACCUACCUAUAAGUCUGGGAUAACUUCGGGAAAGCGGCGCUAAUCCCGGAGAAUAUAUUGAACCGCGUGGGUGAUUGGUGAAAGACGGCUUUGGGGGCACUUAUAGCUGGAUCCGCGCCGCAUUGGCUAGUUGGUAAGGUAACGGCUUACCAAGGCAACGAGGCGUGACCGACCUGAGAGGGGGAUCGGCGACCCUGGAGCUGAGACAGGGUCCAGACGCCUAAGGGAGGCAGCAGAAGGGAAUCGGACGCAAUGGGCGAAAGCCUGACGGAGCAACGCCACGUGAGAGAUGAAGGCCUCCGGUGCGGAAUACUCGGUUAUGAGGUAAGAACAAAUGUGUAAUGAACUAUGCACUUCUUGACGGUAACGAAUCAGAAAGCCACGGCUAACUACGUG